This 71-nucleotide transfer RNA is filed under the name Marmota monax (woodchuck). RNAcentral describes it as "tRNA.Val". The record is from RNAcentral. Lineage: Eukaryota; Metazoa; Chordata; Mammalia; Rodentia; Sciuridae.
GUGUAUGUUGCUCAGUGGUAGAGUACUUGCUUAACAUGUUAGAGGUCUUGGGUUUGAUCCUCAGCACCACA